AUGGGAACGCGAAGAACCUUACCUACUCUUGACAUCCAGAGAACUUUCCAGAGAUGGAUUGGUGCCUUCGGGAACUCUGAGACAGGUGCUGCAUGGCUGUCGUCAGCUCGUGUUGUGAAAUGUUGGGUUAAGUCCCGCAACGAGCGCAACCCGUUAUCCUUUGUUGCCAGCGGUUCGGCCGGGAACUCAAAGGAGACUGCCAGUGAUAAACUGGAGGAAGGUGGGGAUGACGUCAAGUCAUCAUGGCCCUUACGAGUAGGGCUACACACGUGCUACAAUGGCGCAUACAAAGAGAAGCGACCUCGCGAGAGCAAGCGGACCGUCAUAAAGUGCGUCGUAGUCCGGAUUGGAGUCUGCAACUCGACUCCAUGAAGUCGGAAUCGCUAGUAAUCGUAGAUCAGAAUGCUACGGUGAAUACGUUCCCGGGUCUUGUACACACCG
Molecule: ribosomal RNA, 441 nt
Filed under: uncultured bacterium
Lineage: Bacteria
Description: bacterial SSU rRNA
Rfam family: Bacterial small subunit ribosomal RNA
Source: RNAcentral